UGGGGAAUAUUGGACAAUGGGCGAAAGCCUGAUCCAGCAAUACCGAGUGAGUGAUGAAGGCCCUAGGGUUGUAAAGCUCUUUUAGCAAGGAAGAUAAUGACGUUACUUGCAGAAAAAGCCCCGGCUAACUCCGUGCCAGCAGCCGCGGUAAGACGGAGGGGGCUAGCGUUGUUCGGAAUUACUGGGCGUAAAGAGUGCGCAGGCGGUUUAGUAAGUUGGAAGUGAAAGCCCGGGGCUUAACCUCGGAAUUGCUUUCAAAACUACUAAUCUAGAGUGUAGUAGGGGAUGAUGGAAUUCCUAGUGUAGAGGUGAAAUUCUUAGAUAUUAGGAGGAACACCGGUGGCGAAGGCGGUCAUCUGGGCUACAACUGACGCUGAUGCACGAAAGCGUGGGGAGCAAACA
Molecule: ribosomal RNA, 402 nt
Filed under: uncultured bacterium
Lineage: Bacteria
Description: partial 16S ribosomal RNA
Rfam family: Bacterial small subunit ribosomal RNA
Source: RNAcentral